CAGCAGCCGCGGGAAUACAGAGGGUGCGAGCGUUAAUCGGAUUUACUGGGCGUAAAGCGUGCGUAGGCGGCUUCUUAAGUCGGAUGUGAAAUCCCUGAGCUUAACUUAGGAAUUGCAUUCGAUACUGGGAAGCUAGAGUAUGGGAGAGGAUGGUAGAAUUUCAGGUGUAGCGGUGAAAUGCGUAGAGAUCUGGAGGAAUACCGAUGGCGAAGGCAGCCAUCUGGCCUAAUACUGACGCUGAGGUACGAAAGCAUGGGGAGCAAACAGGAUUAGAUACCCCAGUAGUCCCUGUCUCUUAUAC
This 301-nucleotide ribosomal RNA is filed under the name uncultured bacterium. RNAcentral's name for it is "partial 16S ribosomal RNA". It matches the Rfam family "Bacterial small subunit ribosomal RNA", at positions 509 to 807 of the family's 1533-position model. The record is from RNAcentral.